RNAcentral lists this unclassified non-coding RNA (225 nucleotides) under rhizosphere metagenome. Its description in RNAcentral is "partial ribosomal RNA internal transcribed spacer region". The record is from RNAcentral.
GUAGGUGAACCUGCGGAAGGAUCAUUACAGAGUUAGGGUCUCUUCAGGCCCGAUCUCCAACCCUUUGUGUACCUACCUUUGUUGCUUUGGCGGGCCCGCUGGGGCGACCCACCGGCGGCCUUUGGCUCCCGAGUGCCCGUCAGAGACCCUUUCAAACCUGUCAAUUGUGUCGUCUGAGUACCAACUUAAUAAUUAAAACUUUCAACAACGGAUCUCUUGGUUCUG